This 76-nucleotide transfer RNA is filed under the name Defluviimonas salinarum. RNAcentral's name for it is "tRNA-Val". It matches the Rfam family "tRNA". Rfam says of the family: Transfer RNA (tRNA) molecules are approximately 80 nucleotides in length. The record is from RNAcentral. Lineage: Bacteria; Pseudomonadati; Pseudomonadota; Alphaproteobacteria; Rhodobacterales; Paracoccaceae.
GGAUCCUUGGCUCAGCCGGGAGAGCGCCUGGUCGACAUCCAGGAGGUCGCCGGUUCGAGCCCGGCAGGAUCCACCA